Molecule: non-coding RNA, 74 nt
Organism: Parelaphostrongylus tenuis
Lineage: Eukaryota; Metazoa; Nematoda; Chromadorea; Rhabditida; Metastrongylidae
Source: the annotation of a GenBank genome assembly
GCGUUCGGUAGUGCAACGGUUCAGCAUGCGCUCAUGGAUAGCGUGAAAUCUGGGUUCGAAUCCCAGCUGACGUA